CCUAUCAGUGUUAAUUAUUGCCAUGGAAACCACCAAUUGUUUCAUAGAUUGAGUCUACUUUUUGGCACUUUUUCUCCUUCGUUACAUUUUGUGAUAUUGCGUACAAUAGAGGAGAAGAAAAGAGAACUCCAGCAAGAAAGAGUUCUGGAGAAAGGGCUGCAGGAAAAAUGAUUUAUCUAGCAAACAUAUCUAUUCAAGCAAGUCAAGGUUUUGUGAAAUCUCAGAGACCAAUGGCCAUCAAGUGUUUGAUAAAAUGUCUGUGUAAAACUUGGGAUAGCAGAGAAAACACGGAGAGAAUGAUCGCACAGGGACCAAAGGGGAUGUUGCUGACACCAUUAACGGUGAUUCUGGCAAGUGAAUUUAUUAUGGGAAUGAUGGAUCUGAGAUGAACUUGGCUAAUGUGGUGGCUUAUUCUCUCCUAGGAGUGCUAAUGGGCUUGUCAAGAGUAUUGGAGCUGGUGGAGUUGAGAGCAGAAGUCAGGAAACUUUUGUGGGUUCUGGGGUUGGAAAAGAAAUUGUCCCUUAGUCAUCUAAGCCAGCUCAAGAGAAGAAGCCCCAGGUUUCUACUGCUAAUGAAACUUUUGGCUUAAGACCCAAAAAUCUAUCCAAAUUGAGAUAGAAUGUACCAUUAGAUGCCCAUCAUGCAAGGAAGAAACUGGAGUUGAAGCGAGGUAAAUGUUAUUAUUUACUUUUCUAAUGCUAGAAUUAGUAAAUCAUUUACAACAAUAUAGCUUCUAAUUUGCUUCAUGUAAUGGCAAAAUACGAUAGGUGUCGCUUGGGAUUUGUGGUAAAUGAUGUAACAGGAUCUUUACAUGCUGCAAUUUUCAGUCCAUAUGCUUAGAAAUUGUUAUCAUAUACCGCUCUUCAUCUAGCUGGCUGAUGACCAAGUAAGUUCAACUCCAUGAGCUAUAACUUGAUGAGUUAUUGCAUAAUGAUGAGUGCAACUUGAUAAAUGUGCUUAAAUGCUCUUAGAAGAACAAUUGUAGGAAAGGAUUGAAAUAUUAUACUAAAAAGUCGUAUUUUUCCUUAAAGAAUUAAUGAGGUUUUGUUCAACUUAUUUGAUCCAUUUUAUAGCUUUAAGUUUUGCUUAUUGGAUUAAUUCUUUUGUAUGACAUUUUAUCAUAAGUUUACCCUUACAAAUUCAUGUAGAGCUUUUGAUCUUGACUCUUAAGAUAUCCUAAAGCCUUAUAAGAGCACUCUUUUGGUCAGUUGGAAAUAAUUGAAAAAGAUAAGCUGUCUCAGUUAUGGCGUAGGCAUAAGUGACUUAUAAAUUUCUACUAUUUGGUUUUUGACUGAGGCUGCCAUAAAAAAAUGACUCUGUAUGCUUUAAUAAGUUAUUUGUAUCUAACGUAUCUGCUUAUCUGUUAAAAUUUUAGAAUGCUACCUUAGUUUUGGAUUUUAAAAAGCUAUAUUGCUUCACAAUUGGAAAUUGCACAGUCAACAUGUAAUUGUUGAUUAAAUAUUUCAAACAAAUAUUUCGAACAAAGUUCACUAAUGAAAUUAAGGAUGCUACAUAUUUUGCUAAACUAGCCUCUCAUGUUGAGGGGGUUACAAUGGUUUGUUUCAUCCAUGCUUUUAAUUUGGAAAAUCCAAGGACAAAAGCACAGUGAAGAACAACACUAUCAAAGCAUACACUGUUGAGGUUGGAGGUCAAAUUUUGCUAGCCAUCCCAAAUGAAGAUCACAAAGAUGUUCCCAAAAUUUCAUAUCAAUGCUCAAGAUCCUUUAUGAUGGCGUUCUCAUAAAGAACUUGAUGGAGUAAAUGCAAGUUAGCAAUCUAAUUAGGGGGCAAUUAGUAUUUCAAUUUAUAGUUGUCUAGGAUAUAGCACUACUAGAUAGUUUAUG
This is a non-coding RNA of Coffea arabica (coffee), 1843 nucleotides long. NCBI's taxonomy places the organism in Eukaryota, Viridiplantae, Streptophyta, Magnoliopsida, Gentianales, Rubiaceae. The record is from RefSeq and is a predicted model, not a curated record.